RNAcentral lists this ribosomal RNA (395 nucleotides) under uncultured bacterium. Its description in RNAcentral is "bacterial SSU rRNA". It matches the Rfam family "Bacterial small subunit ribosomal RNA", at positions 505 to 898 of the family's 1533-position model. The record is from RNAcentral.
GUGCCAGCAGCCGCGGUAAUACGGAGGGUGCAAGCGUUGUUCGGAAUCACUGGGCGUAAAGGGCGUGUAGGCGGUCCGCUAAGUCUGAUGUGAAAGCCCGAGGCUUACCCUCGGAAGUGCAUUGGAGACUGGCGGACUGGAGUCCCGGAGAGGAGGGUGGAAUUCCUGGUGUAGCGGUGAAAUGCGUAGAUAUCAGGAGGAACACCGGUGGCGAAGGCGGCCCUCUGGACGGUGACUGACGCUGAGACGCGAAAGCGUGGGGAGCAAACAGGAUUAGAUACCCUGGUAGUCCACGCUGUAAACGAUGAGCACUAGGUGUCGCGGGUAUUGACCCCUGCGGUGCCGACGCUAACGCAUUAAGUGCUCCGCCUGGGGAGUACGGUCGCAAGAUUAAA